CUGGAUUGUUCUGAAUUGUUUGUAGUGCAGGGAGGUCGGUGUAGCUGGAGGGAUUGAGAGGAGGGGAGCAAGAGAUGGAGGGAAGUGACAGUGCGAGGUCUUGCAAGGCCCUGUGAUCCGAGGCAAGGACUUUGGCUUUUCCCAGAGCUAGAUAGGAAGGUAAGGCUUUCUUAUAGGAGGUUGGAGGGAAGUGAGCUCUACAACCAACAGAUAAACUGGAGGGUGGGGAGGAAGCAGCGGAGGCCCAGGGGCACCUGCUUCUCAGCGUUGGCGCUGCUCAGCCAGGAAGGCUGGGGCGCCCUGAGCCCGCCCCUUGAGGCAAUGGGAGCGCGGCUUCAGCACGGCGGACAGCUCCGCGCACGUUGCCUGGAGACUAGAAAAGCGGUCGCCUCGGGGGCGGGGCCUGCGGAAGCAUCCUAUCAGAAGAGCUUGUUGACGGCGCAAUGACAAAGCGGUCCUAGUUCACAGGGCCGGGACUCCCAGCGGCGGAGCCUAAGAGAUUCUACUGAGGGCGGAGCUUGAUCGGGCUCGGAAGGGGUGGUGCGCGCAGAUCGGCCCAGGGGCGAGUAGGUUUGGAAGGCCUGGUGCUUGCGGAGGCUGGCCUGGCGCGGUUUCCGUGCACUUCGCAGGGAGGACUGAGCAUCACCCCAGGAGCUAUUCUCUUAUCAAGUCCAGUGGACUCUGCCACCUAAAUCACUGAACCUCAGCUCAGAUGUUCCAGAACUUCAUUCUCAGCUAGCCCUACUCUGCCACACCUGCUCUGCCCAACAGCCCAAAGAACUAUUAUGAAGCACAGAUCAGCCUGCGGUUUUCCCAGCUCUCAAUCCCUUUUAUGGCUCACCAUUGCCAUCAGAAUAAGGUUAGAACUCCUCUGCCUGGCUGUCAACACCCUGCAUGCGGUGCUCCCCCCCACCACCCUCCAGCCAUACAUCUCACCACUCCCUCCUUUUGUAUAAGUCCCACCCAAUAAACACAUGUUGAGUGAAUGAAACAA
Molecule: long non-coding RNA, 994 nt
Organism: Galeopterus variegatus (Sunda flying lemur)
Lineage: Eukaryota; Metazoa; Chordata; Mammalia; Dermoptera; Cynocephalidae
Exons: 2
Source: RefSeq, a predicted model, not a curated record